GCCUCCAUGGUUCAGUUGGAUAAUAGCUUUCUUGUGAGAAAUUGCGUCACGAGAGAGCAAAUCAUGGCGAGGGUUCGAAUCCCUCUGGAGGCA
Non-coding RNA from Mycena latifolia, 93 nucleotides. The record is from the annotation of a GenBank genome assembly. NCBI's taxonomy places the organism in Eukaryota, Fungi, Basidiomycota, Agaricomycetes, Agaricales, Mycenaceae.